GGCAGGGUAGCAAGAAGUGGGAAUAAUUCUGGUUACAUUAAUUCAUGCCUGAACUCGCAGCUUAAACAUUAUUUAAUGUUGUAGAAAUUCAGAGAUGGAAAAGUGACCUUGGAAAUAAUUUAGCAUCCCUUCAUUUAUAGCCAAAGAAAUGAAUGCGGCCCUUGCCGCUUGCGAGAUGCCUGGAAGGUUCAGAGCCUUUAGGAAUGCAGCUAAUAUGUAAGGUUAUUAAAGCGUUUUUGGUAAGAUUUUAUUUCAGUAUUCCAAUCUUUCUUCCCUUUUCUUAGACUCAGCCUGAGCCUUAACAGCAGCAACAAAGCACAAAAAGGCAUUUUUCAGUUUUCCAUUGAAAGUACUUGGCUUUCUUGUUCUAAUCCCAUAAUUAGACUUUGGAUUCUUUCCAGACUCCAUUGAAUCAGAAGAUAGAAAGGCCUGACAUGGUAGAAAAAAAUUAUCCGGGAAAAUAUUGGAGCUCUGAGGACUGCUUCUAACAGAAGUCUGCAUUAAACACAGAAACCUAAAGAGAAGACAUUGACCUGAGUUAUUUAUUUAUUACAGAAAUAUAUAAACAGAACAUCA
RNAcentral lists this long non-coding RNA (576 nucleotides) under Homo sapiens (human). Its description in RNAcentral is "HSALNT0375761". Lineage: Eukaryota; Metazoa; Chordata; Mammalia; Primates; Hominidae. The record is from RNAcentral.